This 2144-nucleotide long non-coding RNA is filed under the name Toxoplasma gondii VEG. Lineage: Eukaryota; Apicomplexa; Conoidasida; Eucoccidiorida; Sarcocystidae. The record is from RNAcentral.
GUGGGUUUAUAUGCGGGGUGUGGCACACGCGCUUUCUCGAGGACGGUGGUCGUUCCCUGCGCCUUUUCGAGCGAAAACUCACGGACCAACCCCUGCAGAGAGACAGAGAGGCAGCUAUUCUACAAUACGUUCCCUCACUGCCCCUCGGUGCAUGCAGCGAGCUCGCCGCGAGCUCGUCUCAAAUGGCUUUUUCAACUGGCUUACCGGACCAUCGACUCUUGUGAGACCCUUUUUCCGGAUGUCUUUCACCACACCCCUGCCAUCUCUGCCGCCUGCAAAGAAGUCACCUUCGUAGAUGAAGUUGUCAAACACCAUCACGCCUGUCCCGUGAGGCAGCCCCUCGUGAAGGCCCCCGACGUACGAAGUGAAGGGGACCGUAUCCCUCUCGACUCGCCUUUCCAUUUCCUUCGUGUCUUCGAACGAAACGCGCUCCAGAUCGAUCUUGCCGCUUGAGCAAGACGCGAAGCCGUCCUGCAGAAGGAGCGAAGACGGAGAGAGAGAAAAAACAUCAUCUGCCUGCGUUGUUGCAUGUGCGUGUGUAUCCUCUCGUGGCUGCUCUCUCCUCUGACGAGCGUUUAUCUACGGUGAAGGCAGACGCAGCAACCACAACUCUGCAUGUUUCUAGCAGACGCAGCGAGGGCGACACCACUCCACUGGUGCUCUCUCUGGCUGCUUCUAUGCUGAAUCCCCAGACCCACAUUGUGGAUCCAACCUCUGUCUCGAGUGAUUGUGGGAUGUCUGUCUGUAUUGCUUUUGUUGAUUGUGCGUCGCACCUUGAAUGUUGCAGCGAUGACUAUUUGAGUUCCUGGUGUUGGCCUCGGAAGUCGCAAAACGCCCUUGCCAUGCCGGAGACCGGCACGCCACUCGCCCUCGUAUUCUGCACCGGUGUGGAGGCUCCGAAUUUUGCCUCUUCCCUCUGCUCGGCCAUCCACGAAAGAGCCUUCGUAGACGAAAUGCUUGGUCCUUAGGCGACCUGCAAGAAGAGGUCAUGCAUGCAAAACACAGGGAAAAGUAUAUGGUCGAAAACGAGCAAAGGAUGAAAACACGAGUAAACAAUCCGUUAUUCUUCCAUCUGCUUUUCGGUUGAAGGUCACAGAAAAAUAAACGAUCGAGAAUGGAAGCAAACAUGGCAGAAAGGGCAAGAGUAAACAAUCCGUUCAUCCGGCAUCUACUGCUCCGCCCCUUCUGCUUCUCGUGCCCUUUUCUGUUGGUCUAGCUCCCUUACAACUUUUCCUUGUCUGCAUGUUUCUUCCCCGCCUUCUCUCACCUGCGAUGAGGCCAUUCAGGGCGUUCCCACCCAACGCUCUGAAGAACUCGGAGCCAUCAACGAAUCUGUUCACAGAAGUUUGAACGUAAGUCGUCGACAAUUACUGAAUCGAGAUGAGGUCACUGGGUGAGUCAUUAUUUGGGUAUAUAGAAAGAAGAGAUCUACCAAUCACAGGUGAAAGGGAUGCGGAACAGAAACGAAUGACCAGAAAAACGAGAACGCAUAGACACUGCAGACACAGAAUUACAGACCACUUCCCCCGGACAGUGAAUCAACAUUUAGCAAAGUGACGUAUCCUGUGUAACUCACACUCAAGACGGGUCAGUUUCUAGAUGCACUAGAGGGUCACAAAACGUUUCUUGUGAUAAUUGACUACCAAUUACAUCCAGACACAUAGGAAUCGUAUGGCGUCAAAUUGCCCAUUUCAGACAUCUGUUUUUUCCCACAGGGAUGCUCUGAGACCCAGGCGACAUGUGCAGCCACUCAUCAAGGACUCACAUCUACAUAUACACGUAUAUAUGUAUAUAUAGGAAUAUGCUGUAUACGUGUGCAUAUACGCGUAUUAAUACGCACAUAUUUAUACGUAAAUGUGUCCGUGGACGGCUGCAGUCUGUAAUGACCCUGUGAUGAAAAUCCAGUAACAAGUGGAGUCGCUUACUUGAUACGAGUAAAGGAUCGAUUAAGGCGAUCCCAAAGGGUUUGGCCUUCCGGGUCGAUGGACGGCCCAAGAAGUUUGUCCCACUUUGAACGAAAGGGCAGGUACUCGGCUUCGCGCUCCUUCGUGAUGCUUGGCUGCCUCUCCGAUGUCCUAAGAAGACAAACCAUAUCAGCGCACCACAGCCACACAUAGAGCAGAUCCACUCCUCAGUGAUAGAAG